Molecule: ribosomal RNA, 472 nt
Filed under: uncultured bacterium
Lineage: Bacteria
Description: bacterial SSU rRNA
Rfam family: Bacterial small subunit ribosomal RNA
Source: RNAcentral
ACUCCUACGGGAGGCAGCAGUGGGGAAUAUUGCACAAUGGGGGAAACCCUGAUGCAGCCAUGCCGCGUGUGUGAAGAAGGCCUUCGGGUUGUAAAGCACUUUCAGUAGGGAGGAAGGUAGUGUAGUUAACACCUGCAUUAUUUGACGUUACCUACAGAAGAAGCACCGGCUAACUCCGUGCCAGCAGCCGCGGUAAUACGGAGGGUGCGAGCGUUAAUCGGAAUUACUGGGCGUAAAGCGCAUGCAGGCGGCCUGUUAAGUCAGAUGUGAAAGCCCGGGGCUUAACCUCGGAAUUGCAUUUGAAACUGGCAGGCUAGAGUCUUGUAGAGGGGGGUAGAAUUUCAGGUGUAGCGGUGAAAUGCGUAGAGAUCUGAAGGAAUACCAGUGGCGAAGGCGGCCCCCUGGACAAAGACUGACGCUCAGAUGCGAAAGCGUGGGGAGCAAACAGGAUUAGAUACCCUGUAGCACAGAG